This 627-nucleotide small RNA is filed under the name Pongo abelii (Sumatran orangutan). Its description in RNAcentral is "retained intron". Lineage: Eukaryota; Metazoa; Chordata; Mammalia; Primates; Hominidae. The record is from RNAcentral.
UCUCACAUGUGUUCCUGAAGCUUUUCUUCUUGUCUUAGCACUCGGAGCGUGCCUUCCGACGCGCGGAGCCAUGGCAGCCCUGCUGCUGCUGCUGUUGCUGCCAGUCGGCCCAGCCCCUCUGGUGGCGACACUGUGCUGCCCAAAUCCAUCAGCAGUGCCCAUGAUACCAGGGGUUCCAGCGUCCCUGAAAAUGAUCGGUUGGCUUCCAUAGCUGCUGAAUUGCAGUUUAGGUCCCUGAGUCGUCACUCAAGCCCCACGGAGGAGCGAGACGAACCAGCAUAUCCAAGAGGAGAUUCAAGUGGGUCCACAAGAAGAAGUUGGGAACUUCGGACACUAAUCAGCCAGAGUAAAGAUAGUGCUUCUAAACUAGGACCCAUAGAAGCUAUCCAGAAGUCAGUCCGAUUGUUUGAAGAAAAGAGGUACCGAGAAAUGAGGAGAAAGAAUAUCAUUGGUCAAGUUUGUGAUACGCCUAAGUCGUAUGAUAAUGUUAUGCAUGUUGGCUUGAGGAAGGUGACCUUCAAGUGGCAAAGAGGAAACAAAAUUGGAGAAGGCCAGUAUGGGAAGGUGUACACCUGCAUCAGCGUCGACACCGGGGAGCUGAUGGCCAUGAAGGAGAUUCGAUUUCAA